RNAcentral lists this long non-coding RNA (716 nucleotides) under Mustela putorius furo (domestic ferret). RNAcentral describes it as "lncRNA (ENSMPUG00000030119.1)". Lineage: Eukaryota; Metazoa; Chordata; Mammalia; Carnivora; Mustelidae. The record is from RNAcentral.
GGAAUUCAUCUUGAUACCUCAUCACUCUAAUAAACUGUGGACCGAGGGAGAAAAGUUCUUCAGCUUCCCUUUGGGAGACCAGUUUUGAAUCUACCUUUCCAGAGAGCAAGAGAGAGAGAGAGACAGCGAGAGCAGGAACAGGAGCGGGGAGUGGGAGACAGAAAGGAGGCCUCCCGCUAAGCUGGGAGCCUGAUGCAGAGCUCGAACCCAGGACAUCGGGACCGUGACCCAAACCGAAGGCAGAUGCGCAACUACUGAGCCACCCAGGUGCCCCUAAAAAUUACUUUUUCUUUAAAUUUCCUGAAAACAGUAAAAUUCCUUUGCCAUUCUUUUCUUCCCCCAUACAUUCCUCUUUACUGUACUUUCAAAGUAAGCCUUUUUCAUAACCCUGAAGUGGUUUUGUCUUUAGGUUGUCGGUAAAAGCAAGUUGGCCUCUUUGACUCAGCCCAUUGAGAUAUGAGUGCACUGAAUGUGUGCAAUGGGCCAUUGCCAGAGUUGCUGUUUUUCAAUUUAUGUCUGAGCUGGAAAAGUCCAAGGAGAAUUCUACUUGUGUAGGUUGCAUAAUAGCCAGCAAACAAAGCUGAACUGGAUAAGAGCUUAAAGAAAAGAAAAGAAACAUAAUGUGUGAUCGAGGCCACAGAUACUGUAGUACAGGGAGCGAGAUCCUGUCAAGGUGAAAAGAGGCUGCAGAUUUACUAAGUGACUCAGUCCUUUCU